This 97-nucleotide small nucleolar RNA is filed under the name Zygosaccharomyces rouxii. Lineage: Eukaryota; Fungi; Ascomycota; Saccharomycetes; Saccharomycetales; Saccharomycetaceae. The record is from RNAcentral.
AAGGUAUGAUGAAAAAAAUUUACAUUCAGUUCUGCUUCUGAACCACAGAAGGAAGAAAACCAAUUACCAAAGCUCAAAAUAGCUGAACCUUUACCUU